UCCAACGAUACAAAAGUGUUUCAUGACAUCUUAUGUACAUGCUCAUGUUCAUGAAAGCUUACGAACAAUAUGAGGAUUAACAAGAAAACACAUGUAAUACAAAGUUUCACUCAUUUUAAACUCAUGUUCAUGCUCUAUUUGUUGGACAUGAACGUCUGUCAUGUUCUUCUUGGCCACAAAUUCGACAUCUAGAUCUAUUACCGACUUCUGUCCAAUCCAUUUCAUUACUAAGCCGCG
RNAcentral lists this long non-coding RNA (237 nucleotides) under Elaeis guineensis (African oil palm). Its description in RNAcentral is "long non-coding RNA (EGUI_LNC022019)". The record is from RNAcentral. Lineage: Eukaryota; Viridiplantae; Streptophyta; Magnoliopsida; Arecales; Arecaceae.